AACGAACGCUGGCGGCAGGCUUAACACAUGCAAGUCGAACGGGCGUAGCAAUACGUCAGUGGCGGACGGGUGAGUAACACGUGGGAAUAUGCCUUUCGGUUCGGAACAACUCGGGGAAACUCGUGCUAAUUCCGGAUACGCCCUUACGGGGAAAGAUUUAUCGCCGAAGGAUUAGCCCGCGUUGGAUUAGCUAGUUGGUGAGGUAAUGGCCCACCAAGGCGACGAUCCAUAGCUGGUUUGAGAGAACGACCAGCCACACUGGGACUGAGACACGGCCCAGACUCCUACGGGAGGCAGCAGUGGGGAAUCUUGGACAAUGGAGGAAACUCUGAUCCAGCCAUGCGCGUGAGUGAUGAAGGCCUUCGGGUUG
This 370-nucleotide ribosomal RNA is filed under the name uncultured bacterium. Its description in RNAcentral is "bacterial SSU rRNA". It matches the Rfam family "Bacterial small subunit ribosomal RNA", at positions 29 to 425 of the family's 1533-position model. The record is from RNAcentral.